This 1912-nucleotide long non-coding RNA is filed under the name Rattus norvegicus (Norway rat). RNAcentral's name for it is "long non-coding RNA NONRATT019900". The record is from RNAcentral. Lineage: Eukaryota; Metazoa; Chordata; Mammalia; Rodentia; Muridae.
CAGAGUCUAUUUCUGCCAGAGUCUCUGUUCCCUGGUGGCCAGGCUGGCAUCUAGGUAGUGGCAAGCCCAAAUGUACUCAGAGUCCGGAACCUGUACUUAGUUGUGGAGUAAAAGCAGUUCAGAGGGUGAGUGGUCCUAGGACUGAGCCUGCUUUGUGGGGCUUCCUGAGUGUUUGUCAACACUAGCCAGCAGUCCUAUGAACCUGGACCUCCAGACUGGAAAACCAAGACAGGUUUUUCUAGUCUAGGGCCUAGCAGGAACAUCUCUUCCCAACUCCCUAAAGUCUGGAGCAGGGAUGUAAAUCCAGAGUACACGUGGGCUGGCUUCUACAGACUUAGGCAGACUGGUUGCUACAAGAAGAGGUAGGCACCCGCUUCCUUGGUUCUUCAGUUUCUGAAGGAACUGACCAGAUUCAGUGUAGUCACUACUCUGUCGUCUCUGUCCUCCUCGAGAUAGACCUUGCUGCUACUCUGGCAGGAACCAGGCAGAACAGAGGGAGAAUAGCUAUUUGGCAGAGACUGUUUCCUACAUGGUGUCUUCCUGCUGUUUACAAGGGUGGGCAGAUGGCAAGUCAGGACACCUGAGAGGGGCCUGCACAUUUACCUGCCUGUUUUGUCAAGAGGCUGGCAGGAUGUGCCCAUAGAUGGGUGCCUGCAUGGUAGUAGCUUUUUUUUUUUUUUUUAAAUCUAUGCCUUUUGACAUGUUCCCUUCCAUGGAAAGUAGGUGAUUCAGUUGAAGGUGAAAUGCCUAGAUUAAGCCUGCUCAGACACUGACUAUAAAAAGAGCUGCAGUGCUGUUCUUCUCAACAAGUCCCAGAAGAGUCCAGGAGGCGGAAGUCUCUUAUGUGGUCCCAGUUAACAUGCAGUUUGUGCUUAAGAGAGAUCUUGUUCCUAGCCCCUGUCCACACAGCUUGGUCCCGUUCUUGUAGCCCCAUGUGAGAAGGUUGGCUGCAGUGAGAAUUAACAGCCAUUCCUCAGCAGGGUUCCAGCAUGAGUUAGGUCGCUCUGUGAAAUCGGGUGGGCCAAUGGUCACUCAGGGCACGGGUCUCUCAUGGUUCUGAGUUGCUGGCUUUGUUCAGCUCUGCCAGGAAGGUCAGGCUGUGUCAUAAUUGUUAUUAAACAGAGAAAACAGCCGACCGCUUGGCCUCCAUGGACUAUUGUUCUUUGAGUUGUCCUGACAUAGCCUUGGGGAAUUGGGGAGGCAGCCAAGGGCCUGUAGUGUCCUUGCUUCUCGGUUCCUGGUCCCCAGCACCUGCUCUGUGUUCUGAUCUCAGUGUGGAUGGCUUUGUUUUCAGGGGGCCUGACUGCUGAGAAGUGUGAUUUGAACAGUCUGCCUUUGGUGUGCUUCCUGUCUCCCAGAAACAGCUGAAGCGACUGUCCUGGUGCUAAGUGAGGGUUACCUGCUACUGCGGCCAGCUGUGAAGGCAAACUAAGAAACAGCAUAUUCUGUCACAUAGACUUUGUAGAGAGGGUAUUUCCUGUGUGGCCCCGGCUGGCCUCCCACCUGAAUGGUCUGCUUACUGUGACCAAGCUGGCCUCAGACUUGGGUGCUCUCCCUGCCUCUACCUCCCAAGCACUGAGUUACAGGCAUGGGCCACACCUGCUGGAGUGUAAGAAUCAUUCACCCUGGCAAACAUUUGAACAGAAAGAUGGCCUUUGCUUUUGGUGUGGGCUGUGUGUGUUGUGAGAGGUGCGAGGAUGACCUCUUCAGGCUGAGUAUCCGGGCCUCCUAAGGUCCCCCAUGGGGAUGCUGCUAUUUCCAAGAUGCAAAUUGCACAUUUCGUAGAUUUUUGUAUCUGCAAAUUUGGAUAAGGGAUGGGAUGAGGGACAAAACUGCUUGUGUAGUUUAAAUGGGCCUCAAGUGGUACUUCCAAUCUUUUAACUGUUCCUAAAUAAAAACGUAGACACUUCUU